Molecule: ribosomal RNA, 729 nt
Filed under: Russula discopus
Lineage: Eukaryota; Fungi; Basidiomycota; Agaricomycetes; Russulales; Russulaceae
Description: eukaryotic LSU rRNA
Rfam family: 5.8S ribosomal RNA (bases 255-408)
Source: RNAcentral
AAAAGUCGUAACAAGGUUUCCGUAGGUGAACCUGCGGAAGGAUCAUUAUCGUACAACGAAGGUGUGAGGGUUGUCGCUGACCCUCGAAAGGUCGUGCACGCCCAAUCGCUCUCGACACACACAUCCAUCUCACCCCCUUUUGUGCAUCUCCGCGUGGGUCCCCUUUUCGAAAAAGGGGGCCUGCGUUUUUACAUCAAACUUUGACUUAGUGUAGAAUGUCAUUUUUUCUUUUUGCGAUCAUACGCAAUCAAUACAACUUUCAACAACGGAUCUCUUGGCUCUCGCAUCGAUGAAGAACGCAGCGAAAUGCGAUACGUAAUGUGAAUUGCAGAAUUCAGUGAAUCAUCGAAUCUUUGAACGCACCUUGCGCCCCUUGGAAUUCCGAGGGGCACACCCGUUUGAGUGUCGUGAAAUUCUCAAAAGCCCUUUUCUUUUUUGAAGUAAGGUUUUUUGGACUUGGAGGAUCUUAUGCACGCUUUCAAGAAAAAGAAAGCGAGCUCCUCUAAAAUGGAUUAGUGAGGUUCGACUUGUCGGUCCUUGACGUGAUACGUUUGCUUCUACGUAUUGGAUUUGACGUGCGAUCGGUUCUAACCCGUCUCAUUGACGACGAUGGUGCUCCGGUCGCCCCCCUUGCCGCCCGUGUGGCGGUGGGAGGCUGGACCCACAAAUUUAAAACCCCUUGACCUCAAAUCGGGUGAGACUACCCGCUGAACUUAAGCAUAUCAAUAA